RNAcentral lists this ribosomal RNA (267 nucleotides) under Enterobacter hormaechei. RNAcentral's name for it is "partial 23S ribosomal RNA". It matches the Rfam family "Bacterial large subunit ribosomal RNA", at positions 2664 to 2925 of the family's 2925-position model. Lineage: Bacteria; Pseudomonadati; Pseudomonadota; Gammaproteobacteria; Enterobacterales; Enterobacteriaceae. The record is from RNAcentral.
GAGGGGGGCUGCUCCUAGUACGAGAGGACCGGAGUGGACGCAUCACUGGUGUUCGGGUUGUCAUGCCAAUGGCACUGCCCGGUAGCUAAAUGCGGAAGAGAUAAGUGCUGAAAGCAUCUAAGCACGAAACUUGCCCCGAGAUGAGUUCUCCCUGAGACUUUAAGUCUCCUGAAGGAACGUUGAAGACGACGACGUUGAUAGGUCGGGUGUGUAAGCGCAGCGAUGCGUUGAGCUAACCGAUACUAAUGAACCGUGAGGCUUAACCUU